CCUACGUGAGGCAGCAGUGAGGAAUAUUGGUCAAUGGGCGCGAGCCUGAACCAGCCAAGUAGCGUGAAGGAUGACUGCCCUACGGGUUGUAAACUUCUUUUAUAAAGGAAUAAAGUUAGGCACGUGUGCCUUUUUGUAUGUACUUUAUGAAUAAGGAUCGGCUAACUCCGUGCCAGCAGCCGCGGUAAUACGGAUGAUCCGAGCGUUAUCCGGAUUUAUUGGGUUUAAAGGGAGCGUAGAUGGGUUGUUAAGUCAGUUGUGAAAGUUUGCGGCUCAACCGUAAAAUUGCAAUUGAUACUGGCAGUCUUGAGUACAGUUGAGGUAGGCGGAAUUCGUGGUGUAGCGGUGAAAUGCUUAGAUAUCACGAAGAACUCCGAUUGCGAAGGCAGCUUACUAAACUGCCACUGACAUUGAUGCUCGAAAGUGUGGGUAUCAAACAGGAUUAGAUACCCUAGUAGUC
Molecule: ribosomal RNA, 460 nt
Filed under: uncultured bacterium
Lineage: Bacteria
Description: partial 16S ribosomal RNA
Rfam family: Bacterial small subunit ribosomal RNA
Source: RNAcentral